RNAcentral lists this long non-coding RNA (1068 nucleotides) under Equus asinus (donkey). RNAcentral describes it as "lncRNA (ENSEASG00005029511.1)". The record is from RNAcentral. Lineage: Eukaryota; Metazoa; Chordata; Mammalia; Perissodactyla; Equidae.
CAAUAACGAAAGAAAGACAAUCCUUUUAUCACCAGAAAAUAAGUGUUAGUUUUCAGACAACACUUCCGCAUCUCGAUGCCUGGGUGAUGUUUUUCAGUGACCAACACAGGACUUAGGAAAAGACGUCGUGUCAUGCUGUUCAAGGUCACUGAGAUCUGGCCUUGCCCCCAGGUGUCAGCCAGAAGAACCCAGAGCGGGUAGAGGAAAUGUCUUCCUCUCCUAUACUGGACAACUGUGUCACUGCCAGAUCAUCUCCAAGCAAACUCCUCCCUUGGUGGCAUGUGCAUUUUCAGAGAGAGCACUUAUAGACCCAAAAGUCUUCAUCUUCAAGAAGCUUGAUCCACAUGGUGAAAUUCCAGGCAUCAUGGCAGACCUUGCAGGGAGUUAUGUAUAGGAAAUGGACUGGCAAGUUGGAAUGAAAACAGAUAAGAGAACAAAAGCCCAGCUAAGAAGAGUGGAAUUUAUUUCGAAGACAAUGACGAGUCACUGGAGUUUUUGACCAGACCCACUGAGGAAGACCAAGCAGGAGUUGCUUCAGAGGAGGCAUGGAUACGAACGUGGAGAGGGGAGAAGGAGAAGCCACUGCCUUGAGGAGAGUUAAGUGUCCUUUGAGACGGGAGUUAAGAUGUGCAAACAGAGGCCUAGGACAAGGAAAAUGAUCUGACUGAGAGUCCAGGGUAAACAGCAUUUGCGGAGAUUCAUAUGUAUCUGCACACACACCCUGAUCACUAAAAUUUAUCUAGACCUUUGCUAGACACUUGCGAAAGUGUGAUCCACCGGCCAGUAGCAUCAGUAUUACCUGGGAACUUGUUAGAAAUACAAAUUCUCAGGUCCUUCCCCAGACCUAAUGACUCAGCAACCUCAGGUGUUUCUUGUGCAUCUUAAAUUUGAGAAGUCCUUCUCUAGAAGGCUGAUUGGAGCUGGAAGUGGGAUGUAGUUGAAGAGGCUGGGGGCAUGUUUUAAUCCUGGCUUCAGAGGAUCAGAAUAAAAUCCACAGCCUUGGCUUUCUCAGCAACCUGAUUUAAUCUACAUGGUCUUUGAGGGCCCGAGGCCCCAGGCUAACCAGGC